CCUACGGGUGGCAGCAGUGGGGAAUAUUGCUCAAUGGGGGAAACCCUGAUGCAGCAACGCCGCGUGAGUGAUGAAGGUUUUCGGAUUGUAAAGCCCUUUCAUUAGUGACGAUAAUGACGGUAUCUAACUAAUAAGCCCCGGCUAACUCCGUGCCAGCAGCCGCGGUAAUACGGAGGGGGCAAGCGUUCACCGGAAGUACUGGUCGUAAAGGGAGCGUAGGCGGCUUAUCAAGUCAGAUGUGAAAUCCCAGGGCUCAACCUUGGGACUGCAUUUGAAACUGGGAAGCUAGAGUAUGGGAGAGGUAGGCGGAAUGCCUGGUGUAGCGGUGAAAUGCGUAGAGAUUAAGAGGAAUACCAGUGGCGAAGGCGGCCUACUGGACUAUAACUGACGUUGAGGCGCGAAAGCGUGGGGAGCAAACAGGAUUAGAUACCCCUGUAGUC
This 440-nucleotide ribosomal RNA is filed under the name uncultured bacterium. RNAcentral's name for it is "partial 16S ribosomal RNA". It matches the Rfam family "Bacterial small subunit ribosomal RNA", at positions 338 to 795 of the family's 1533-position model. The record is from RNAcentral.